CGUCCCGCCAGACGGUAUAGUCGGCGGCGUCCACGACGCCGUCGAAGUUGAAGUCGCCGUCGAGCAGGUUGUUCGGGUCAACCGUGACGUC
This 91-nucleotide transfer RNA is filed under the name Posidoniimonas corsicana. RNAcentral describes it as "Planctomycetes bacterium KOR34 tRNA-Val". Lineage: Bacteria; Pseudomonadati; Planctomycetota; Planctomycetia; Pirellulales; Lacipirellulaceae. The record is from RNAcentral.